UACGGAGGGUGCAAACGUUGCUCGGAAUUAUUGGGCGUAAAGCGCACGUAGGCGGCCGAAUAAGUCGGGUGUGAAAGCCCUGGGCUCAACCCAGGAAGUGCACUCGAAACUGCUCGGCUUGAAUAUGGAAGAGGGUUGCGGAAUUCCCGGUGUAGAGGUGAAAUUCGUAGAUAUCGGGAGGAACACCAGUGGCGAAGGCGGCAACCUGGGCCAAUAUUGACGCUGAGGUGCGAAAGCGUGGGGAGCAAACAGG
This 253-nucleotide ribosomal RNA is filed under the name uncultured bacterium. RNAcentral's name for it is "partial 16S ribosomal RNA". It matches the Rfam family "Bacterial small subunit ribosomal RNA", at positions 524 to 776 of the family's 1533-position model. The record is from RNAcentral.